CAUAGCGGCACUAGGCCGCUACUUCACGCCGGUAUUCUGUGCGAGUGUGGUAAGUAACCCGGACGAGUCUGGCCCGAUUGUGCUGACGUCAUGAGACAGCAGCGUGACUCUCCCACUUUCAAAAAGCCCGUAGUCGCCUCUUACGACACCCUUGGACCUGGGACUACCCUAUUCUUUUUUACGCCCCGGGGCAGCACAGGGCAAAAUUUCUUAAUAUGUACUGAUAACGAUGUGGAUGAAAAUUUUUCUUACAACAAAGAUAUUUAUAAUGAACUAUAAAUGUAAUGUAGAGAUAUGGGGGUGAGAGGUUAUCGAUAAUAUGUGUCAAGUUGAAUCGAGUAACUCUCCACAAACUUUAACAACCACACAUCAAGUUCAAUCAAGUCAAACGACAACAAACCGAUUAGAGCUAUGAGUCCAAAUCUGUCUGCUUGUGCUGCCUGUCUAAUAUUAACGGCCACGACUUCACACGUCUUCGCAAAAAAUAGAGUUAUAAACGCAGUGAAGAUAGACCUAACCGCUCCGGAGCUGGUUGAUGUGAGGGAAGUGGAUGCUCAGGGAUUGUACGUGAGGUGGAGGACAGUGGCUUUUUCCAGGGCGGACCCCGUCCUAGGAUAUAAGAUAAAAAUAUGGGAAGUGAAAGAGUCGUCUGAACACGGACUGGAACUGGUUAAUGCUGAAGAGUAUCCAGCAGAGGUAACCAGUGAACUACCGACAGAUCCGUUCCCGUUGGCCAACACCACACCCGGGACCAGAGAGGAGAUCGCGACCGGCGGGGAGACAAGCAGCGCGGUGGUGUCAGGGCUCCGGGGCGAGACUGUAUACGAGCUCCGGGUUUCAGCUUUCAAGGCUCACGAGGACGGGCCGUGGUCGCUCCCCACGAGGAUCAAAGUAAUGAACGAGGUUGACCUGGGCAGACGUGCCUCCAUCACCAGGACUGCGGAGGGCUGCAGGUUCUCCGUCUCCUCCGAUGUGGAAGCGGAACACGAAGAAUACAUCCACGUGUAUAAUUCUUAUUUUUGAAAAGCGCUACGAACUUGAUUUUUGACCGUUUACCCAACUGAUUGCAAAAUAAUUAGUUAUGUUACAAGUUG
Molecule: long non-coding RNA, 1094 nt
Organism: Leptidea sinapis
Lineage: Eukaryota; Metazoa; Arthropoda; Insecta; Lepidoptera; Pieridae
Exons: 3
Source: RefSeq, a predicted model, not a curated record